Non-coding RNA from Eubacterium sp. CAG:252, 168 nucleotides. Lineage: Bacteria; Bacillati; Bacillota; Clostridia; Eubacteriales; Eubacteriaceae. The record is from Rfam.
CUUGAAAGCCAAUUGUGCUAGUUCUUAUACUUUCCUUUAAUUAUCAGAUAUGCGGGUACAAGGAUGUACCCGCAAGUGAGAACGUGCCAAGGAGGGCACGUUCGAACGGUGUCGUCCGUUGAUAAAGAGUAUAAGGAAAGUAUUAGAAAUAGCCGAUUGGUUUUCUGG